Non-coding RNA from Pelobates cultripes (western spadefoot toad), 337 nucleotides. NCBI's taxonomy places the organism in Eukaryota, Metazoa, Chordata, Amphibia, Anura, Pelobatidae. The record is from the annotation of a GenBank genome assembly.
GUCUUUUUGAAUAAAGUGGCAGUUGACUCUCAGACUGUGUUUCGUCUGGUUCUUGGGAGGAUUUGGGAAUAUUGCCUGGUUCCAGCUUUGUACUUGGUUAUUGCAUUCUACCAGCAGAGAUCCUGGGAUUAUAAAAUUGCAGCUCCGCAACAAUUAUGUCUCCUGUCACAGUACGCAUUGGGUAUACAUUAUCUCUCCUGUCACAGUACGCAUUGGGUAUACAUAAUCUCUCUUGUCACAGUACACAUUGGAUAUACAUUAUUUCUCCUGUCACUGUGCGCAUUUGGUAUACAUUCUCUCCUGUCACAGUGCGUAUUGCAUAUACAUUAUGUCUCCU